Molecule: small nuclear RNA, 100 nt
Organism: Sarcophilus harrisii (Tasmanian devil)
Lineage: Eukaryota; Metazoa; Chordata; Mammalia; Dasyuromorphia; Dasyuridae
Source: Ensembl
GCUCCCUUUGGCAACAUAUAUACUAAAUUGGAACAAUACAGAGAUUAGUAUAUCCUUGUGAAAAGAUAACAUGAAAACUCAGGAAACAUUCCAUAUUUUU